RNAcentral lists this transfer RNA (72 nucleotides) under Ornithorhynchus anatinus (platypus). It matches the Rfam family "tRNA". Rfam says of the family: Transfer RNA (tRNA) molecules are approximately 80 nucleotides in length. Lineage: Eukaryota; Metazoa; Chordata; Mammalia; Monotremata; Ornithorhynchidae. The record is from Rfam by way of RNAcentral.
AGCAGUGUGGUUCAGUGGAAAGAGCAUGUGUCUGGGAAUUAGAAGACUUAGGUUCUAUUCCUAUCAUAGCCA